Molecule: ribosomal RNA, 504 nt
Filed under: uncultured bacterium
Lineage: Bacteria
Description: partial 16S ribosomal RNA
Rfam family: Bacterial small subunit ribosomal RNA
Source: RNAcentral
AUUGAACGCUGGCGGCAUGCCUUACACAUGCAAGUCGAACGGCAGCACAGGGAGCUUGCUCCUGGGUGGCGAGUGGCGAACGGGUGAGUAAUGUAUCGAAACGUGCCCAGUAGUGGGGGAUAACUACUCGAAAGAGUGGCUAAUACCGCAUGAGAUCUCUGGAUGAAAGUGGGGGACCGCAAGGCCUCACGCUACUGGAGCGGUCGAUAUCCGAUUAGGUUGUUGGUGGGGUAAGGGCCUACCAAGCCUGCGAUCUGUAGCUGGUCUGAGAGGACGACCAGCCACACUGGGACUGAGACACGGCCCAGACUCCUACGGGAGGCAGCAGUGGGGAAUUUUGGACAAUGGGCGCAAGCCUGAUCCAGCAAUGCCGCGUGCAGGGUGAAGGCCUUCGGGUUGUAAACUGCUUUUGUACGGAACGAAAAGGCUCUGGCUAAUACCUGGGGCACAUGACGGUACCGUAAGAAUAAGCACCGGCUAACUACGUGCCAGCCGCCGCGGUAA